UAAAAUAUAAAUCUUAAUAAAAUAUUAAAAUAGAAACCUUAAUUAAAUCCUAAUAAAAUCCUAAUCAAAUCUUAAUAAAUCCUAAUCAAAUUCUAAUCAAACUCUAAACAAACUUUAACCAAAGCUUAGUCAAAUCUUAAAUAAAUCUUAAUCAAAUCCUAAUCAAAUCGCAAAUAAAUCUUAAACAAAUCCUAAUCAAAUCCUAAAUAAAUCCUAAUCAAAUCCUAAAUAAAUCCUAAUCAAAUCCUAAUAAAAUUCUAAAUAAAUCCUAAUCAAAUCCUAAAUAAUUCUAAUCAAAUUUUAGUCAAAUCCUAACAAAUCUUAACCAAACCCUAUUCAAAUCCUAAAUAAAUAUUAAUCAAAUUAUAGUCAAAUCCUAAACAAAUCCUAACCAAACUCUAGUCAAAUUCUAAUCAAAUCCUAGUCAACUCUAAAUAAAUCCUAAUCAAAUCCUAAAAAAAUCGUAACCAAAUCCUAGUCAAAUCUUAAUCAAAUCUUAGUUAAUCCUAAAUAAAUCCUAAUCAAAUACUAACCAAAUCUUAACCAAAUCAUAGUCAAACUCUAAAUAAAUUCUAAAUAAAUGCUAAUCAAAUCCUAAAUAAAUCCUAAUAAAUCCUAAUCAAAUCUUAAUAAAAAUCUAAACAAACUUUAACCAAAACUUAGUCAAAUCCUAAACAAACUUUAACCAAAUCCUAGUCAAAUCCUAAACAAAUCCUAAAUAAAUCCUAAUCAAAUCUUAAUCAAACUCUAAAUAAAUCCUAGUCAAAUCCUAAAAAAAUCCUAAUCAAAUCCUAAAAAAAUCCUAGUCAAAUCUUAAACAAUUCUAAUCAAAUCUUAUACAAAUUCUAAACAAAUCUUAAAAAAAUCUUAAACAAAUUCCAAUCAAAUCUUAAAUAAAUUCUAAUCAAUUUCUAAACAAAUCCUAAUAAAAUCCUAGUCAAACCUUAAUCAAAUCCUAGUCAAUCUUAAAUAAAUUUUAAUCAAAUCCUAAAAAAACUCUAAUCAAUUCUUAACCAUAUCCUAAUCAAAUCCUAAAAAAAUUCUAAACAAAUCCUAAUUAAAUCCUAAAUAAAUCCUAGUCAAAUCCUAAACAAACUUAAACAAACUUUAAUCAAACUCUAAUCAAAUCCUAAAUAAUUCCAAGUAAUUUCUACAGUAAAUUUAAACCUUAAUAACUAAUGAAUGAACCAUCAAUUUAAACUCAAAUUAUACACACCUUUUCACAAUUAAGUUUAAAUAAGUAAAAUAUUUUUGAAGAAGAUCGAACUCACCAAAAAAAUAUCUCUCCUAAUAUUUGCUUGGAUGUUUACUAGCCUUCUUCUUUAAUCUAAAUGUUGAAUUUUCAACAUCAAUAUUUUCUUAUCAAACCAUUUGAUUGAUUUCAAAUUUCUUACAUACAUAGGAAAAUAAUUCUACUACCCACAUACAUAAUUUUUACUCCAAUCCAAUAAAUAGAUUGCAAGAAAUCUUAGAAGCCUUUAUUAGAUCUAAAACUCUAUUUUCCAAGAUUCCAACCUACUUAAACCUCAAUAAUCCUCAAACCAAUCUUUCGAUCUAACUCAAA
This 1564-nucleotide long non-coding RNA is filed under the name Physcomitrium patens. Its description in RNAcentral is "long non-coding RNA (PPAT_LNC007224)". Lineage: Eukaryota; Viridiplantae; Streptophyta; Bryopsida; Funariales; Funariaceae. The record is from RNAcentral.